This is an RNA transcript of Physeter macrocephalus (sperm whale), 2829 nucleotides long. It is a transcript of the gene named nuclear receptor binding factor 2, with no coding region annotated. The record is from RefSeq and is a predicted model, not a curated record. The transcript is spliced from 7 exons. Lineage: Eukaryota; Metazoa; Chordata; Mammalia; Artiodactyla; Physeteridae.
GUGGCCGCGGCGCGGGGGGCGGGCCCGUGGCGCCGCGCCGGAGGAGGAAGUGGUGCGGUUGUUUCUCCCUCUGCGCCCGCCGCUGGCUCCCGGGGCGCGGAGUGGGGCCACAGUCGCCGCCGCUGCGUCGCGCUCUCCAGCUGUUACCCUUCAUGUGCCCGGGCUCCGUCGCUCCCCUUCCUCAGGCCGCCGCUUACCCCGGGGUCUAUGGAAGUAAUGGAAGGACCCCUCAACCUGGCUCAUCAACAGAGCAGACGAGCAGAUCGUUUAUUAGCUGCAGGGAAAUACGAAGAGGCUAUUUCUUGUCACAAAAAGGCUGCAGCGUAUCUUUCUGAAGCUAUGAAGCUGACACAGUCUGAGCAGGCUCAUUUAUCACUGGAAUUGCAAAGGGAUAGCCACAUGAAACAGCUCCUCCUCAUCCAGGAGAGAUGGAAGAGGGCAAAGCGGGAGGAAAGAUUGAAAGCCCAGCAGAGCACAGAGAAGGACGCCGCCGCCCAGCUUCAGGCAUCUCACAGACCCUCUGCUGAGGACGCAGACAGCCAGAGCCCCCUACUCUCUCAGAAUUAUAGCCCUUCCACAGAGAAACACUUGCCUGAAAUUCAGGGGGUCUUUGACAGGGAUCCAGACACACUACUAUUUUUACUUCAGCAGAAGAGCGAGCCAACAGAGCUGUGCAUUGGAAGCAAAGCCCCAAAAGAUGACAAAACAAUUAUAGAGGAGCAGGCAACCAAAAUUGCAGAUUUGAAGAGGCAUGUGGAAUUCCUCGUGGCUGAGAAUGAAAGAUUAAGGAGAGAAAAUAAACAGCUAAAGGCUGAAAAGGCCAGACUUCUAAAAGGCCCAAUAGAAAAGGAGCUUGAUGUAGAUGCUGAUUUUGUAGAAAAGUCAGAGUUAUGGAGCUUGCCACCACACGCAGAAACUGCUACAGCCUCUUCAACCUGGCAGAGGUUUGCAUCAAAUACUGGGAAAGCCAAGGAUAUUCCAAUACCCAAUCUUCCUCCCUUGGAUUUUCCAUCUCCAGAACUUCCCCUCAUGGAACUCUCUGAAGAUAUUCUGAAAGGACUUAUGAAUAAUUAAAAUGGAAGGCCAUAGAAGAGGUGAAAAAGAGGAAAUAAUACGGUAAUACAGUUAAUCCAGCAAAAAAAAAAAAAAAAAGGAAAACCACAUGCAAGGGUGUCCCGGAGAUGCUGCAUCCAGCAUCCUGCAGAGAAGAGGCAUUGACAAGACUCGUAAACAGUCACUGUGAAGUAUGUCGCGCAUCGGAUUUACUGACUCGAGCUAAUGAUUCCAGACUUGGCAGAUACUAAACUCUUGGAGGUUCACUUUCUCCUGAUACAAACCAAAUGGCUACCUGGAAUAAUUUUUUUCAAGCAACAAUUAUUUUUCUUCAGGGUUAAAAUGUAUAAAAUGUAGCCUAAUUGGAGACCUCUGCCAGAGCAAGUGGCUUGACUGUUUUAAGAAUUUGUCUAUUUUGUUCCAGUUGGAAGCCUGUCCUUCUAAGAGUCACCGCAGACCAACAGUGCCAUCUAGUGGACGAUAACCCUCCUUCCACCGCUUCACAAUAUCUCAGUCACAAGCUGCAACCCUUCGGACGCCCACUUCCAAAGCAAACCUCCAGUCUUCUUCAAGGUUGUUGGUUCCUGUGGAGGAUGAACAUAGUGGAUGCCUCUCACAUUUUCAGCACUGCUGUGCAGUCUCAUUGGAUCUUCAUUAUGGGUCUGUAGAACAGAUGCUCUAUUUCACAGAGCAGGAAACUAUGGAUAAGCAGUUCAGCGCCUGUUCCAAGAUAAAUCAGCCAAUAAAUGGCAAGUCAAGAGGAACCCAGCUCCUGUGAUAUCUUGUCUAACAGAUGCUUUACAAUCCUACAUGAACUCAGUCAUACCAGCAUACACAGGCUCCAAAUGCCCUGUCUCAUCUUACAUUCAUCUGAACAUGCUGUGGGGGUUAAGUCCUUCUAAAGUUCUAGCAUGUAACUUUUAGCAUAUGGAACUAUUUUUUAUUUUUAUUUAUUUAUUUAUUUUUUUGUGUGGUAUGCGGGCCUCCCUCUGCUGUGGCCUCUCCCGUUGCGGAGCACAGGCUCCGGACGCGCAGGCCCAGCGGCCAUGGCUCACGGGCCCAGCCGCUCCGCGGCAUGUGGGAUCUUCCCGGACCGGGGCACAAACCCGCGUCCCCUGCAUCGGCAGGCGGACUCUCAACCACUGCGCCACCAGGGAAGCCCCUGGAACUAUUUUUUAAAAAGUAAUUUCUCUUCACUGAUAUUCUAAUUGCAUUCAUACAUCAUUUGCCUGGUUUUCUUUCUUUUUUCCCAUAGUCCUUUAGCCCUUUGAGCAUAUUUAAUUAAGAUAACUGACUUAGAAGUCUAUCUAGUAAGUCUGAUGUCUGGCCUUCCUCAGGGACAGUUUCUGUUGAGGUAUUUUUUCCCUAUGAAUGGGCCCUACUUUCCUGUUUCUGUGUAUGCUUUGUGACUUUUUGUUGAAUACUAGACAUCUAAACAUUAUAAUGUGGUAACUAGAAUCAGGUUCUCCCCUGCCUCAGAGUCUGCUGCUGUUGACUGAUAGGGAUUGUAGGCAUCCAUUUGUUUUGUGACCUUUCCAAACUAAUUUUGCAAAGACUGUUCCUCUUCUGGCGUGCUCACUGAUGUCUCUGUUCGGUUAUCUCAUCUCAGGUGGUCAGCCAGUGACCUGUCAGAGAUUUCCUUGAAGGCCAAAACUCAGAUGUCCUCUUCUUCAUUAAGCAGUCCCCUGGUCGAUGUAAGUUCUGAAUUAGAUUCCAGAGCUCUGAAAAAGUUGAUUCUUACGGUUGUUUUAAAAUCACUUUUAGAACAGUGACUUU